UAGGGAAUCUUCGGCAAUGGACGAAAGCCUGACCGAGCAACGCCGCGUGAGUGAAGAAGGUUCUUGGAUCGUAAAACUCUGUUGUUAGAGAAGAACAAGGACGUUAGUAACUGAACGUCCCCUGAGGGUAUCUAACCAGAAAGCCACGGCUAACUACGUGCCAGCAGCCGCGGUAAUACGUAGGUGGCAAGCGUUGUCCGGAUUGAUUGGGCGUAAAGCGAGCGCAGGCGGUUUCUUAAGUCUUAUGUGAAAGCCCCCGGCUCAACCGGGGAGGGUCAGUGGAAACUGGGAGACUUGAGUGCAGAAGGGGAGAGGGGAAUUCCAUGUGUAGCGGUGAAAUGCGUAGAUAUAUGGAGGAACACCAGUGGCGAAGGCGGCUCUCUGGUCUGUAACUGACGCUGAGGCUCGAAAGCGUGGGGAGCAAACGGG
This 429-nucleotide ribosomal RNA is filed under the name Gemmatimonadota bacterium. RNAcentral's name for it is "Gemmatimonadetes bacterium partial 16S ribosomal RNA". It matches the Rfam family "Bacterial small subunit ribosomal RNA", at positions 355 to 776 of the family's 1533-position model. Lineage: Bacteria; Pseudomonadati; Gemmatimonadota. The record is from RNAcentral.